RNAcentral lists this long non-coding RNA (927 nucleotides) under Citrus maxima (pomelo). RNAcentral describes it as "long non-coding RNA (CMAX_LNC001696)". Lineage: Eukaryota; Viridiplantae; Streptophyta; Magnoliopsida; Sapindales; Rutaceae. The record is from RNAcentral.
UUUUUUUUUUUCUUUUCUUUUCUUCACAUUUUUUUUAACCCAAAAAUAAAAUCUAUUUUUCUCAAAAUCUCAUCAUCACCAUCAUCAUAGUCAUGCAUGUACUGUUAAGUAUAACAAUGAGCUUUUGUUUUUAAUGCAUAUAUAAUAUUCUUUUAAAAAUACAAAAUGUUACAGAAAUAGCUCAAAAUUAGGGUUUAUCUUUUAGAAGUUGUCCACUUCUUAUUUUAGAAGUAAAAAAAUUCAAUCUAAACAUGCAUAAAUAUUUGAAACAUCUCUGACUUAGAACAAUCAAAGAUGCAAAAUAAUUAAUUUCUUUAGUCAUAGCAUAUUUUUAACUCACGUUUGUUAUUUGAUUAUAACUGUUAAAACAAACACCGAUGAAAUCUAGUGGUUAUAACACCUAACUCUACUUUGGAGAUGCUCUAACUUAACAUGGUCCGAAGGUAAUUAAAACACAUGAGGGAUGAAUGCAAUUGGAUCUGGUCAGUAGUAGUACACCAAACUAACCAGUGAUGCUGAGUCAAAGAAAGAAAGAAAGAAGGGACAACCGUCUGAUUAACUUAGACAACAGCAGGGCACUGGUGGCAUCCCCAAAGGCAAAUUUUUUUGCAAUCAAAACAGUUAAAAAUGGAGGGACAAAAGAGGACACAAUUGUGAGGCCGUGUCACCACGGACACGAUAAAGGAGAAGGAGAGUGUUAAAAGUCCGUUAGGUUGACGAAACACGAAGCCACGCUUUCCUCCCGUUCGAGGCGACCAUGUCUCUAAUUCCGUCACGCCGAAAGAUGGGUGACACGCGUUCUGUUGUUACUGGGUCCCCGAUCCCUUGUACCCAUGCUUUGUGUGCUAUUGCGAAACACUUUAGUGGUCCCCUUUUUGCUUGUGCUACCUUUUACGUACGACUCAUCCCAUGUACAUCAAAUUCUUG